GCAAGUCGAGCGCUUUCCUUCGGGAAGGAGCGGCGGACGGGUUAGUAACGCGUGGGAAUGUACCCUUUUCUAAGGAAUAGCCUCGGGAAACUGAGAGUAAUACCUUAUACGCCCUUCGGGGGAAAGAUUUAUCGGAGAAGGAUCAGCCCGCGUUAGAUUAGAUAGUUGGUGGGGUAAUGGCCUACCAAGUCUACGAUCUAUAGCUGGUUUUAGAGGAUGAUCAGCAACACUGGGACUGAGACACGGCCCAGACUCCUACGGGAGGCAGCAGUGGGGAAUCUUGGACAAUGGGCGCAAGCCUGAUCCAGCCAUGCCGCGUGAGUGAUGAAGGCCUUAGGGUCGUAAAGCUCUUUCGCCAGGGAUGAUAAUGACAGUACCUGGUAAAGAAACCCCGGCUAACUCCGUGCCAGCAGCCGCGGUAAUACGGAGGGGGUUAGCGUUGUUCGGAAUUACUGGGCGUAAAGCGCACGUAGGCGGAUCAGAAAGUUAGGGGUGAAAUCCCAGGGCUCAACCCUGGAACUGCCUCUAAAACUCCUGGUCUAGAGUUCGAGAGAGGUGAGUGGAAUUCCGAGUGUAGAGGUGAAAUUCGUAGAUAUUCGGAGGAACACCAGUGGCGAAGGCGGCUCACUGGCUCGAUACUGACGCUGAGGUGCGAAAGUGUGGGGAGCAAACAGGAUUAGAUACCCUGGUAGUCCACACCGUAAACGAUGAAUGCCAGACGU
This 722-nucleotide ribosomal RNA is filed under the name uncultured bacterium. RNAcentral describes it as "bacterial SSU rRNA". It matches the Rfam family "Bacterial small subunit ribosomal RNA", at positions 57 to 823 of the family's 1533-position model. The record is from RNAcentral.